UACGUAGGGGGCAAGCGUUGUCCGGAUUCAUUGGGCGUAAAGAGCGUGUAGGCGGCCAGGUAGGUCGGUUGUGAAAACUGGAGGCUCAACCUUCAGAGGUCGACCGAAACCAUCUGGCUAGAGUCCGGGAGAGGAGAGUGGAAUUCCUGGUGUAGCGGUGAAAUGCGCAGAUAUCAGGAAGAACACCCGUGGCGAAAGCGGCUCUCUGGAACGGUACUGACGCUGAGGAGCGAAAGCAUGGGUAGCGAACAGG
This 253-nucleotide ribosomal RNA is filed under the name uncultured bacterium. RNAcentral describes it as "partial 16S ribosomal RNA". It matches the Rfam family "Bacterial small subunit ribosomal RNA", at positions 524 to 776 of the family's 1533-position model. The record is from RNAcentral.